RNAcentral lists this ribosomal RNA (768 nucleotides) under Listeria monocytogenes. RNAcentral describes it as "partial 23S ribosomal RNA". It matches the Rfam family "Bacterial large subunit ribosomal RNA", at positions 1 to 765 of the family's 2925-position model. Lineage: Bacteria; Bacillati; Bacillota; Bacilli; Caryophanales; Listeriaceae. The record is from RNAcentral.
GGUUAAGUUAGAAAGGGCGCACGGUGGAUGCCUUGGCACUAGGAGCCGAAGAAGGACGGGACUAACACCGAUAUGCUUUGGGGAGCUGUACGUAAGCGUUGAUCCAGAGAUUUCCGAAUGGGGGAACCCACUAUCUUUAGUCGGAUAGUAUCCUUACGUGAAUACAUAGCGUGAGGAAGGCAGACCCAGGGAACUGAAACAUCUAAGUACCUGGAGGAAGAGAAAGAAAAAUCGAUUUCCUGAGUAGCGGCGAGCGAAACGGAAAGAGCCCAAACCAAGAAGCUUGCUUCUUGGGGUUGUAGGACACUCUAUACGGAGUUACAAAAGAAAGUUAUAAAUGAAGCGGUCUGGAAAGGCCCGCCAAAGACGGUAACAGCCCGGUAGUUGAAAUGGCUUUCCCUCCAGAGUGGAUCCUGAGUACGGCGGAACACGUGAAAUUCCGUCGGAAUCCGGGAGGACCAUCUCCCAAGGCUAAAUACUCCCUAGUGACCGAUAGUGAACCAGUACCGUGAGGGAAAGGUGAAAAGCACCCCGGAAGGGGAGUGAAACAGUUCCUGAAACCGUGUGCCUACAAGUAGUUAGAGCCCGUUAAUGGGUGAUAGCGUGCCUUUUGUAGAAUGAACCGGCGAGUUACGAUUUGUUGCAAGGUUAAGCGGAAAAAGCGGAGCCGUAGCGAAAGCGAGUCUGAAUAGGGCGCAUAAGUAACAGGUCGUAGACCCGAAACCAGGUGAUCUACCCAUGUCCAGGAUGAAGGUAAGGUAAUACUUA